CCUACGGGAGCAGCAGUGGGGAAUAUUGCACAAUGGGCGCAAGCCUGAUGCAGUCAUGCCGCGUGUGUGAAGAAGGCCUUCGGGUUGUAAAGCACUUUCAGCGGGGAGGAAGGCGGUGAGGUUAAUAACCUCAUCGAUUGACGUUACCCGCAGAAGAAGCACCGGCUAACUCCGUGCCAGCAGCCGCGGUAAUACGGAGGGUGCAAGCGUUAAUCGGAAUUACUGGGCGUAAAGCGCACGCAGGCGGUCUGUCAAGUCGGAUGUGAAAUCCCCGGGCUCAACCUGGGAACUGCAUUCGAAACUGGCAGGCUAGAGUCUUGUAGAGGGGGGUAGAAUUCCAGGUGUAGCGGUGAAAUGCGUAGAGAUCUGGAGGAAUACCGGUGGCGAAGGCGGCCCCCUGGACAAAGACUGACGCUCAGGUGCGAAAGCGUGGGGAGCAAACAGGAUUAGAUACCCGAGUAGUC
This 464-nucleotide ribosomal RNA is filed under the name uncultured Klebsiella sp. Its description in RNAcentral is "bacterial SSU rRNA". It matches the Rfam family "Bacterial small subunit ribosomal RNA", at positions 338 to 795 of the family's 1533-position model. Lineage: Bacteria; Pseudomonadati; Pseudomonadota; Gammaproteobacteria; Enterobacterales; Enterobacteriaceae. The record is from RNAcentral.